UAUCAUUUAAAAUCUGUUCACAUUGAUCAAGAAUGUUAAAAUAAAAGUCAAUCUUAAUUUUCCUAGAAACUCAGAAACAGCUUCUGGUUAUGGCAGGUUCUGUGUUAGAAUAAGUAUUUCAAACAGGUGUGUGCAAUUCAAACUGUACCAUGCCUACAAAUUGUUAUACUGCUUGUUUCUACAGUAUCUGUUGUGGCCUCUCCUUUUUGUUAGUGAACACGGGAAACUUCAUGCAAGGAAGAUCUUCCAUGGACAUUUCUCAGUGCAGCCUUACACAGCCAGGUGCAGCACACUGAAGGAAGUGCGGUCUUUGUUCACUGCUGCUGUCUGAGGAGGCGUGCGGUACUCACCCCCACUGCUGCGGAUUUAGAAGCACGUCCUUCAGCUGGAGGGAUUCCACAAGAGGAGCCCUGAUCUGGAUGAGCUGUGUGAGAGACACAGCAGUGGAUGGAGCUGCAGCCACCCAACUGUGUGCCCAC
This 479-nucleotide long non-coding RNA is filed under the name Anser brachyrhynchus (Pink-footed goose). Its description in RNAcentral is "lncRNA (ENSABRG00000021817.1)". The record is from RNAcentral. Lineage: Eukaryota; Metazoa; Chordata; Aves; Anseriformes; Anatidae.